GAUGAACGCUGGCGGCGUGCCUAAUACAUGCAAGUCGAGCGAACGGACGCGAAGCUUGCUUUUCUGAUGUUAGCGGCGGACGGGUGAGUAACACGUGGAUAACCUACCUAUAAGACUGGGAUAACUUCGGGAAACCGGAGCUAAUACCGGAUAAUAUUUUGAACCGCAUGGUUCAAAAGUGAAAGACGGUCUUGCUGUCACUUAUAGAUGGAUCCGCGCUGCAUUAGCUAGUUGGUAAGGUAACGGCUUACCAAGGCAACGAUGCAUAGCCGACCUGAGAGGGUGAUCGGCCACACUGGAACGGAGACACGGUCCAGACUCCUACGGGAGGCAGCAGUAGGGAAUCUUCCGCAAUGGGCGAAAGCCUGACGGAGCAACGCCGCGUGAGUGAUGAAGGUCUUCGGAUCGUAAAACUCUGUUAUUAGGGAAGAACAUAUGUGUAAGUAACUGUGCACAUCUUGACGGUACCUAAUCAGAAAGCCACGGCUAACUACGUG
This 497-nucleotide ribosomal RNA is filed under the name uncultured bacterium. Its description in RNAcentral is "partial 16S ribosomal RNA". It matches the Rfam family "Bacterial small subunit ribosomal RNA", at positions 28 to 507 of the family's 1533-position model. The record is from RNAcentral.